CAAUGAUUUAUUCGGGAUAACAAUCGAACAUUUACUUAACGAAAACGACAGGUUUGUUGUUCCACCCAACCGUUUAAAAGUAGGAUCUUGGCCCUCGGUGCAGACCCAGUGACCAAUUUGGCUUGUCCUUGAAUCAAAGGCCAAGGGUGUGGGCUGUUGAUUCUGCGAUGCAGGCUUCUCUGGCAAUUCCUUUCCACCAAAGAGAAGAAAGACGUGAUGAAGCAUAUCUUUUUUCAGGUCAGAUGACUUGGCAAGAAGAGUGCUUGGCCUCAAGUUGUUUUUGUGAAGCACAUCUGGAGAGUGAUCAGGAAGUGCUACCAAGCAACAAAACUGAAUUCUCUUUAAAGUUAUUUGCUAUUUUGGAGUCAAAUAAUAAUAAAACUUUAUAUUGAUAUGGCUCCUGUUUCUCAAAGAACUCGAUGCAUUUUACAACAUGGAACUCAUCCAUGCAACAUCCUGUUAGGGAGGACAGUUGGCAAGGUC
Molecule: long non-coding RNA, 483 nt
Filed under: Monodelphis domestica (gray short-tailed opossum)
Lineage: Eukaryota; Metazoa; Chordata; Mammalia; Didelphimorphia; Didelphidae
Description: lncRNA (ENSMODG00000034927.2)
Source: RNAcentral